CUAUCGCUAUGUGCCCGUGUGUGAUAAUACCUAUUUCUUUUCAUUUUCUUUUCAGCUUUUCACUUUCAGCUUUUCAGUUUUCACAUUCGGCUUUCGUGUUAUUUCGGUAUUCGGCUAAGUGCGAAGACCGACCACCUGAGCCUCGAGUACGUUGCGUUUAUUUGAUUAAUAAAUCAUGUCUACGUCUUCUUUUAUGUGCAAUAUAUGCAAAAAAGUUUUUGGUUACCAUCGUAAUUUAAUAGCACCUGAAAAAAUGUUAUUAAAUGUCUCAACAAUUUCAAGGAAUAGAAACAGAGAAAUUGAAAAAGAAAGUGUUUGGUCAUAUGUUUUAAAAUCAACUGCGGUCGUAUUAAAAAUGAAAAAAGAACUUAAUAUCAUCGUCAUUGAAGUGGUUUCUUUAAUAGUAAAUCAUGAGGGGUAAAGUUCAUUACAAGCCAAGGAAGUAAUAAGAUAGGUUCAACAUGCAAGUCUUCAAUGGUGUUGACAGAAGCUCAUGGAAUUAAUGUUGAUUAUAGUAUCACCUAUUUAAGGCAUGAGUCUAAUAUUUAGGUAGAUGUUUCCACGCUGCUGAAUACAUGUAAUUUCAGUUCCACUCAAAAUGUGCAUGUGGAAAAAUCUACUGUUGUGAUAGCUGUAAAUGAUACAUGUUGUGUAAGAGCCCCAGUAUUAAAUGAAAAUUCCCCAGUGAUUGUUGUUUGUGACAUUUUUCCAUGAUUCAACUCUCAGUGAGCAAGUUUGAACUAGCAAGAUCAGUCUGAUUGACCAGAUAGGUUAUUUUAAAUCUUGUUAAAUCUAUUAUGUGAAAAAAAUAUGUAUCUGAACAUUGAAAUGGUUAAUAUGUGUAAGAUUACUAUAGGUAUUCUGAAAACUUGGGUAAAAUACUUUUAAAAAGUAUUUAGAAUAAAUAUGCAAAUAACAUUACAAAAUAGUAUUUAGAAUAUGUUACCU
This is a long non-coding RNA of Myzus persicae (green peach aphid), 948 nucleotides long. RefSeq lists it as uncharacterized. The transcript has 4 exons. The record is from RefSeq and is a predicted model, not a curated record. NCBI's taxonomy places the organism in Eukaryota, Metazoa, Arthropoda, Insecta, Hemiptera, Aphididae.